UGCAAGUCGAGCGAAGCGAUUUAGCGGAAGUUUUCGGAUGGAAGUUAGAUUGACUGAGCGGCGGACGGGUGAGUAACGCGUGGGUAACCUGCCUCAUACAGGGGGAUAACAGUUAGAAAUGACUGCUAAUACCGCAUAAGCGCACGGGGACGCAUGUUCUUGUGUGAAAAGCCGAGACGGUAUGAGAUGGACCCGCGUCUGAUUAGCUAGUUGGUGAGGUAACGGCCCACCAAGGCGACGAUCAGUAGCCGACCUGAGAGGGUGACCGGCCACAUUGGGACUGAGACACGGCCCAAACUCCUACGGGAGGCAGCAGUGGGGAAUAUUGCACAAUGGGGGAAACCCUGAUGCAGCGACGCCGCGUGAGUGAAGAAGUAUUUCGGUAUGUAAAGCUCUAUCAGCAGGGAAGAGAAUGACGGUACCUGACUAAGAAGCCCCGGCUAACUACGUGCCAGCAGCCGCGGUAAUACGUAGGGGGCAAGCGUUAUCCGGAUUUACUGGGUGUAAAGGGAGCGUAGACGGCUGGACAAGUCUGAAGUGAAAGCCCAGGGCUCAACCCUGGGACUGCUUUGGAAACUGCCCGGCUAGAGUGCUGGAGAGGUAAGUGGAAUUCCUAGUGUAGCGGUGAAAUGCGUAGAUAUUAGGAGGAACACCAGUGGCGAAGGCGGCUUACUGGACAGUAACUGACGUUGAGGCUCGAAAGCGUGGGGAGCAAACAGGAUUAGAUACCCUGGUAGUCCACGCGGUAAACGAUGAAUACUAGGUGUUGGUGUGCAAAGCACAUCGGUGCCGUCGCAAACGCAAUAAGUAUUCCACCUGGGGAGUACGUUCGCAAGAAUGAAACUCAA
RNAcentral lists this ribosomal RNA (848 nucleotides) under uncultured bacterium. Its description in RNAcentral is "bacterial SSU rRNA". It matches the Rfam family "Bacterial small subunit ribosomal RNA", at positions 56 to 904 of the family's 1533-position model. The record is from RNAcentral.